RNAcentral lists this ribosomal RNA (253 nucleotides) under uncultured bacterium. RNAcentral's name for it is "partial 16S ribosomal RNA". It matches the Rfam family "Bacterial small subunit ribosomal RNA", at positions 524 to 776 of the family's 1533-position model. The record is from RNAcentral.
UACGGGGGGGGUAAGCGUUGUUCGGAAUUACUGGGCGUAAAGGGCUCGUAGGCGGCCAACUAAGUCGGACGUGAAAUCCCUCAGCUUAACUGGGGAACUGCGUCCGAUACUGGAUGGCUUGGAUUUGGGAGAGGGAUGCGGAAUUCCCGGUGUAGUGGUGAAAUGCGUAGAUAUCGGGAGGAACACCAGUGGCGAAGGCGGCUACCUGGCCCAUUCUUGACGCUGAGGCGCGAAAGCUAGGGGAGCAAACGGG